Molecule: unclassified non-coding RNA, 253 nt
Filed under: uncultured Gammaproteobacteria bacterium
Lineage: Bacteria; Pseudomonadati; Pseudomonadota; Gammaproteobacteria
Description: contains 16S-23S intergenic spacer region
Rfam family: Bacterial small subunit ribosomal RNA
Source: RNAcentral
UACAGAGGGUGCGAGCGUUAAUCGGAUUUACUGGGCGUAAAGGGCGCGUAGGCGGUUAUAUGAGUGUGAUGUGAAAGCCCCGGGCUUAACCUGGGAAGUGCAUCGCAAACGAUAUAACUGGAGUACAUGAGAGGGUGGCGGAAUUUCCGGUGUAGCGGUGAAAUGCGUAGAGAUCGGAAGGAACGUCGAUGGCGAAGGCAGCCACCUGGCAUGAUACUGACGCUGAGGCGCGAAAGCGUGGGGAGCGAACAGG